This 465-nucleotide ribosomal RNA is filed under the name uncultured bacterium. RNAcentral's name for it is "partial 16S ribosomal RNA". It matches the Rfam family "Bacterial small subunit ribosomal RNA", at positions 338 to 795 of the family's 1533-position model. The record is from RNAcentral.
CCUACGGGUGGCAGCAGUGGGGAAUAUUGCGCAAUGGGCGAAAGCCUGACGCAGCGACGCCGCGUGAGGGAUGAAGGUCUUCGGAUCGUAAACCUCUGUCAGCAGGGAAGCACGGUCACUGUGCUAAUCAGCAGUGCAUUGACGGUACCUGCAAAGGAAGCACCGGCUAACUCCGUGCCAGCAGCCGCGGUAAGACGGAGGGUGCGAGCGUUAAUCGGAAUUACUGGGCGUAAAGCGCUCGUAGGCGGUAUGUCAAGUCAAGGGUGAAAUCCCCGCGCUCAACGUGGGAACUGCCUUUGAAACUGGGAAACUGGAGUGUGGUAGAGGGUAGUGGAAUUCCAGGUGUAGGAGUGAAAUCCGUAGAUAUCUGGAGGAACAUCAGUGGCGAAGGCGACUAUCUGGCACAUAACUGACGCUGAGGAGCGAAAGCGUGGGUAGCAAACAGGAUUAGAUACCCCUGUAGUC